This 24-nucleotide non-coding RNA is filed under the name Arabidopsis thaliana (thale cress). Lineage: Eukaryota; Viridiplantae; Streptophyta; Magnoliopsida; Brassicales; Brassicaceae. The record is from RNAcentral.
CCAAGUGUGUCACGAUCAUCUUAC